AUAAAACACUGGUUCCUGUACGAUCACCGAAGUUAAGCAACGUGGGUCCUGGUCAGUACCUAGGUGGGUGACCGCUUACGAAUACCAAUUG
Non-coding RNA from Acanthosepion pharaonis, 91 nucleotides. The record is from the annotation of a GenBank genome assembly. NCBI's taxonomy places the organism in Eukaryota, Metazoa, Mollusca, Cephalopoda, Sepiida, Sepiidae.